RNAcentral lists this ribosomal RNA (550 nucleotides) under uncultured bacterium. RNAcentral describes it as "partial 16S ribosomal RNA". It matches the Rfam family "Bacterial small subunit ribosomal RNA", at positions 356 to 920 of the family's 1533-position model. The record is from RNAcentral.
UGGGAAUAUUGGACAAUGGGCGCAAGCCUGAUCCAGCCAUGCCGCGUGAGUGAUGAAGGCCCCUAGGGUUGNAAAGCUCUUUCAGCGAGGAGGAUAAUGACGUUACUCGCAGAAGAAGCCCCGGCUAACUUCGUGCCAGCAGCCGCGGUAAUACGAAGGGGGCUAGCGUUGUUCGGAAUCACUGGGCGUAAAGCGCACGUAGGCGGACUUUUAAGUCAGGGGUGAAAUCCCGGGGCUCAACCUCGGAACUGCCUUUGAUACUGGAAGUCUGGAGUCCGAGAGAGGUGAGUGGAACUCCGAGUGUAGAGGUGAAAUUCGUAGAUAUUCGGAAGAACACCAGUGGCGAAAGCGGCUCACUGGCUCGGUACUGACGCUGAGGUGCGAAAAGCGUGGGGAGCAAAACAGGAUUAGAUACCCUGGUAGUCCACGCCGUAAAACGAUGGAAGCUAGCCGUCAGGGUGCAUGCAUCUUGGUGGCGCAGUUAACGCAUUAAGCUUCCCGCCUGGGGAGUACGGUCGCAAGAUUAAAACUCAAAGGAAUUGACGGGGUC